AACAAAAAAUAUCUGAGCCAAUGAGGUUUAUCCGAGGCGCGAUUAUUGCUAAUUGAAAAGUGUUCCCAAUACCCCGCCAUCACAACUUGAAAUAUAGUCGGCAUUGGCAAUUUUUGACAGUCUCUAUGGAGA
This 132-nucleotide small nuclear RNA is filed under the name Aotus nancymaae (Ma's night monkey). RNAcentral describes it as "U4 spliceosomal RNA (ENSANAG00000012015.1)". It matches the Rfam family "U4 spliceosomal RNA", at positions 17 to 138 of the family's 138-position model. Rfam says of the family: U4 small nuclear RNA (U4 snRNA) is a component of the major U2-dependent spliceosome. The record is from RNAcentral. Lineage: Eukaryota; Metazoa; Chordata; Mammalia; Primates; Aotidae.